This 207-nucleotide ribosomal RNA is filed under the name uncultured bacterium. RNAcentral's name for it is "partial 16S ribosomal RNA". It matches the Rfam family "Bacterial small subunit ribosomal RNA", at positions 568 to 774 of the family's 1533-position model. The record is from RNAcentral.
CGUGUAGGCGGCCAGAUAGGUCAGCUGUGAAAACUCGAGGCUCAACCUCGAGAUGUCGGCUGAAACCAUCUGGCUAGAGUCCGGAAGAGGAGAAUGGAAUUCCCGGUGUAGCGGUGAAAUGCGCAGAUAUCGGGAAGAACACCCGUGGCGAAGGCGGUUCUCUGGGACGGUACUGACGCUGAGACGCGAAAGCGUGGGGAGCGAACA